RNAcentral lists this long non-coding RNA (926 nucleotides) under Vulpes vulpes (red fox). RNAcentral's name for it is "lncRNA (ENSVVUG00000028734.1)". The record is from RNAcentral. Lineage: Eukaryota; Metazoa; Chordata; Mammalia; Carnivora; Canidae.
GCGGAGCGGGGAGCCCGGCGCAGGCCGGCGGCGCCUCCCGGGUGCAGGCGACAAGCACCUCGUUCCCGGCCGAAGCGUUCAAAGCCCAAGAACGAAAUAAAACAACGAAUAUUGCGACCGAGACAAGAUAACCCGAACAGUACGACUGUUCUCUGAGAAGCCCCGCGAUGAGCUGGGGCGGGCGCGCGGACCACCUGCCUCCCCCCCCCCGCCCCGGGGUUUCUACCUUCUGCACCUUCUGUGGUUGCAGCCACUGGACUCACGGCCGCUCCCACCUGUUCGGCUUCGGGCCGAAAGCACGAGACGAGACGAACAUCUCUUGGGGGAUACGGUAGAUCUUACUAACGGGCAUCCUUGGAGGGUCCCCUUCUGCUGGGGGCUUCUGUGAUGGGAGGCACCGAAGUCGUUUCUUUUUUUUUUUUUUCUUUUCUUUUUUUUUUUUUUUAAUUUUCAAACCGAGUCUCUGAACGCAUAACUGUGUGUUGGUUCACAUUCGGGAAGUAUUUGUUCAACGUUAAGUCCGGCUUGCGCAGUCCUUCGGUGUGAUUUGUUUUCUUCAACAACAGAAGGCACUAUGCAUCCGAGGCUUGGCUGGACCCGUGCCUCUAGACUUGAAGGAAGAGGAGCUGAAGUCUCCACUAUGCUCCUUACAAAGCACAGAAGGACCUGGCCCGAGCCCAACACCUUUGUCAGGGUGCAGAAAAGCUCAGUGCCUGGGGCCUUGUGUUAUGUGGCUCAUGCAGUUCUUGUGCGGUGCCCAGGCAGCAGGCUCGGGUGAUCACCUGGUGGGACCCCUUCUCUCCAUGACUGUCACAUGGACAGGGCACAGGUCCUGGCUGCUGUGUCCCCUGCUCCACCAUGGGGCCUCACACACGGACCGCUUGCUGAGUAAAUGCUUGCUGGCGUGCUUUGUUAUUAAUUGGUGA